RNAcentral lists this long non-coding RNA (6109 nucleotides) under Medicago truncatula (barrel medic). Its description in RNAcentral is "long non-coding RNA (MTRU_LNC008054)". The record is from RNAcentral. Lineage: Eukaryota; Viridiplantae; Streptophyta; Magnoliopsida; Fabales; Fabaceae.
UCCGCUGCACCCCAAAUAUGUUGUUCGGCUAUUAAAUUAGCAUCUGAAGCAGUAGAAUAACACUCCCAUGCACCUUUUGAGCCAGGAAACCUUAAAGGAAGACCCUCAUGCUUGCAAAUUGCGGCGUAAACACAAAGCGUGCCAAUGACGUUCAUCAUGCUAUAAGGUGAAAAUCCAAAGAUGGGGUGUGGUCGAUUAAUGAACCAUGUCGUUCCUUUUUUCUUACCCACCUGAACAAAUAUAUUGUUCAUUUAAUUAUAUAAUAAUGUAUGUGAUACCCCCUAAAAAAUAAAUAGAUGUGAAACUAUUUGCUAAAAAGAAUGUAUGCGAUAUACUAAUUCUUGUUUAAGUGACUAAAUAUAAGUUCCAAGAUUAAUUUAACACAGAAAAUAUAAUUCCAAAGAAUGUUAGUAAUAUAUAAUUUCAAUUUGUUAAAAACAUAGUGGAAAAAGGUUAGAUUGUAUUGAUAUUUCUAUGAUCAUAUGAGUCUAGUAUGUGUUUCAAAUUCAAAACUAAACUUAUUUGUUUACUUUAUAAUAAUCUUUUGUUGUAAAGACAUUUUUUUAGAAAGUCUAGUUUGCAAUAAUUUUAUGCACCAACCUCUUCUAACAAGAUAUCCUCCUGUGUGUAAUAGAAAUUGGGUGUGACAAGGCGUGGCACAUCCUCCGUGAAGGGGGACUCAUGGGCCUUGAUCUUACCGAUCGUUUCGAAGGAUCCUAGGUAGUGCUUAGUUCCUGUUUGAAGGGACACAUGGCAAAGAUUGAGAGUAUUUGGGAUGAGGGCUCGAAGGACGUUCCUUAACAUUGAACCGUUAACUUCGCAGUUUUGAGCCUCUGUAGGCAUGCUGGUCCACGAGACAUAGAAAAUAUGUGUCACAUCAGUUAAGGGAGAGAGCUUCAAUUCGACGUCUUUUUGGUCAGAGACAUCGCAUUGAAUGUAGUGAACAUACUUAUCAGCGUUCCACGUUGGUUGUGGACGGCGAGCCACACCAUAAACCUUCCAUGGACCACCUGGUGUGUCGUCGAGAGGUAGAAUCUCUGCUAGGCUAUUUCCCACAAUUCCCGUCACGCCUAUAAUCAAUGCUACAUUUUGGAAGCUUCCUGGUGCUUCCUUGAAUUCUGUAAUCUGCACAGGCACAAGAGAGUGAGUAAAAUCUCAUUAGUUGAAAAUAAAAAUUAAAAGGGAGAGGAUAUUGAAAAACAUAGAACAAUGCUUAAAUAACUUGCUUUGCCAGUGCCAGAUGCUUUAGCUAACCACCAGUUCAUUUUUUUUUUCUUUUCAAAGAUAAUGUGAUGUUGAAUCAUGAUGUUUGUGUAGUAUAGGUGACAUGCUAUUAAAAGCUGUAUUGCUUGAGACAGUGAGUGCCAUAAGGCCAUGACAUUCUCGUUUUUAUUAUAUUAAUAUUAUUUGGGAAAUGCCAACGAGUGCCCCUAGAGCACUCAGGACCUUAAAAGGUAAGUUUUUAUAAAAGUUUCCGUAUCCAAUAUAUUGGAAAUUGUGAUAUUUGACUUUUUUAUAAGAAUAUUUUCUUAAAGUAAAAUGCUUAACGAAUGAUCCGAAAACACUCGUUAACAAGACCCUGCUAUUCAGUUUAAGGGUCCCUUACCCUGGUCCAAUUGUCCACCCUUACCUUUGGACGGGCUCAAAAAGAUCAACAUCCACUUUAUUAUCAGCACAAAAAACAACCACGUCUAAGGGUCCCUAAUCCUGGUCCCUGACAAAUAAUUGCUAUGAAAUAAUUCAACAGUUGGUAGACAUGAAAGAAAAGUUGGUACACUAAGCACCACAUUGAACAAAGUUUGAAAAUAAUUGACAAGAAGGAAGUUGAUACCGAUAAGAGAAUGUAGACGACGCAUAUUCAACUGCAAAUGGAAGCAGACAAGAUUUAUGGUCCGACGAAGAUAGUACUAAAAGAUUGCUUGUCGUAUGUUGUAAACAAGGUUGAAUACUUACAUUUUGAACCCUAAUCAUCAACUGAAAACGAAUUCAAGCUAUAAGAAUAUAAGUGUAUCUUCCAUGCUUAUUUUUCUUUAAAUUUCAACAAUGUAGUCACAUUUCAAUUCUAAGUUAUUUUCUGGUGUGAACGUUUUUGCUGCUGUGUUUUUGUUUCUGCGCUUUCUGCAUAAUCGCAUUCUGUGAGUGUUUCUGCAUUGCGCGCUGUUCUGAAGUGUUCUUGUUCAUGUUAAAAACGCAAAAAUCAAUAUUUGUCCUCAAAAUUGUAAAGGUUGAUCAAUUUAAUCUCUCACAUGUACAUUAAAUUACAAAUUAGUCCAUUAAAUUAAUAAACAACAUUCAAUUUUGUUUCUCCAUCAAAAUAUCUCUUUAGUAGCAGCAAUCUAUCAAACUAAUGAAAGACAUACAUAUUGACUUGAAUAGUCUUUGGCAACAUCAAGACAUGCAUAUAAUCUUUUAAAAUAGUGUUAAACUUGGGAAGAAAAAAAAGAACGAUUAAAUUGAUUGAUGUUGUCAAAUUUAAAGGUCUAAAUUGCUAUUUCACUAAUUUGAGGGACUAACACCUCUGGACGGAAACUUCAUAUUAUUGUCCUUUUAGAAUAAAAAUUAAUUACAAAAAAUAGUGGAUUGCGUAGGUUUUUGCUGCCUUCAAAUAGGGUGUUAUUCCCUUAAAAAAUUCCAUAAAACAAACUACAACAUUAUUACAAAAGAGCAAACACUAAGAAAAUAGAACAGUAAAUAAUAACUCUUCCCACCCUAUCAUGAGACUUAUUUACUACGUCGCUUAGUACGGUGAAGCAAAGGGAAGACCAAGGCUAUAUAUUAGACCUAGGUUCUUUGUUUUUAGAUGCACGUAACACUUUAAGCUUAUAUCUAACUUAAUUUAAAUAUUUAUUUUGUGAGAGUGUGGUUGCACCGGGACAUUGGGCGUGAGAGUGAGAGAAGUCUAUGUGUUGUAAAAAAAUUCACAUAAUAAUUCUCUAGUUGUAACGGUCGUGGUUUUUUCUUCAGUUUUGGAGUUCUUACUUUAUAUUCUUGUGUUGUGAUUUUGCUUAUUUUUCUUCUUCAGCUUUGUUAUUUCUAACAAGCACCUCAUUGUCAAUAUUUGGUCAAAGUCUGACUUGAGGACUGUGAAAUCAGAAAGGGGGCAUAAUAGUGGGUCAAAAUCGCACAUUUAAAACUACAGAGUUAAAAUCACACAAUUGAUAAACCAGGGGGUUGAAAACUACAUUUAAGCCUUUAUUUUAUCAGGAUUAUAUCAUUUAUUUUGCUCAUUGGUGGGUUGAGUGAACACAUAAUAUGCUUUUGUUGUUUUGCUCAUCAUCGAGUUAGAUUAGUUUGGAGUUGAUUGAAAUAUACUGAUUUUCAACCCAACUAAAACCAAUAAAAUUUGAUUAAAUCCGGCAAAGACUUUAACCAAAACCGAACCACGUCAUCAUAAAAUCCGCAAACCAAUAGUCCGCAACCUAUUCAAGCUUGGAUGGGAGAGAAUGAUGAAUGAAUUAUUAAAAUAAACUAUUUAGAUGAGAGAGAAUGAGUGGUUAAGAGAGAGAUAGAGACAAUGGUACUAAUGGCACCAAAAGCCAAUGACACCCAAGUGCUACCCGAUAUAACCCAUUAACCCAUCUUUAUCAGGCAUGCAGCAAGCGAAGACAAAAUGCAUAAUCAAUGAGUCAAAAAAGUUAUCACCCUAAAUUAAUUCAGUGUGGCUUGCUAGCCAGUUUUGCUAUAGCACUUAAUUAAUUCACCUGUGUUAAUUAAUUAUUCCUUCUAUAAUAAUCAACUGGCCAAUCUUCAUAUUUAAUACCAUGGUUCCCACACGGUUACCCUAAUUUGUGAAAAUAUUUUUCUCAUGACACGGCAGAGUUAAUUCAUUCACUUCUCAUUUAAGGAAAUCAUAUAGUUCUAUAAAUCGGAGUGGUUUGGAGACAAUUUUAUUCCAUUGCAAAACAAUAUCCAUCGACAAGAGGAAAAUAAAAUACUCAUUCAUACUUACACUAUGGCAAAAUCCACUGCUUCACUUGUUUUGGUUCUCCUUGUUGCGGCGAUUUUGAAUGGCUAUAGUGCUGAGGGUGCAGGAAGAGGUAAUCAACUCGAAAAAGAUGAUGGCCAUGUUUACGAAUCUCAAAAGUUGAUUUCGGCUGAGCCGGAUCCGGAUCCAGAUUGUUCGGGGUUGUAUAAUAUGUGUUUGAAUGAUCCUAACAUGUGUGGCUACUACAGUAGUGUGUGUCCUCUCCCUCCUCUGUCUAGCAAAGAUCUCCAAUCCACUGCAGCUAAAAAUGGUAAUCCUACAAUUGAAAUCCUUCCAUGAUGAGAGAUUGUGGCCAUGGUUUGUGUGUUAUUAUUGAUAUAUUUUUAUCUAUAUGUAUCGUUUUGUGAGUGUGUGAAAGUAUUAUAUGAUAUUAAAAAUUAUAUAGCUAAAUAACUCUAUCGGCCUUUACUGGUUGUUGUACCUUAGCUAAGAUAUAUAUAUAUAUAUAUAUAUAUAUAUAUAUUGUGCUAUGCAUUUUGUAUUAUUGUGCCAUAUUAUAUGGUUAUAUUAUAUAUAUGCAGAUUGAAAUAAAAUUCACAUGUGUGUUUCUUGUGUCUCGGAGCAUCACAAUACGUGUAGCAAACUUGUUUAUUUUUUACGAGUAAAGAGAAAUUUAAAAAGGAGGAUAUCAGAUUAAUAUGAUAGAAAAGAAAUAUAAAAAUAACUAUAAUAUGUUGGUACAUAACACACAUUUUUUCAUACAAAAGCCACAACACUAUUACAAAUAAGCAAACACCAUAAACAUAGAAAAGUAAAAUAUAACUCUUCCUACCCACUUUAUUUAUCACAACAAAAAGCUUAUGACAAUUCAAAACCCAAACUAUCAUGGCACAAUCUUGUAAGCUUUUGUCUUAUCAAUCCAACUAAUGAACGAAUUCUUAGAAUUCCUAAAUCCUAAGAAUCCAUGUUCCUUAGACUUGUUCAUACUAUCCAACACACCCUCCACUCUAAACAUAAAAUCUGCAAACCACCAAUCUCCAACUUCUUCAAGCUUGGUGUACAACAAUUCAUUCUCCCUCACAAUCUCUUCCCACACACCACCCUUAUCCUUCAUCAAAUCCGAUAACCUCAACUCCGACCCCUCCUCAAAUCCAUAAUCAUCGAUCUCAAACCGUUCUGCUAACACCUUCCACAAAUGUUUCCACCUGAAAACAUCGCCAUUGCUGCAGUUGAAUGCUUCAUUCUUUGCAUUAGGAUCCACUGCACCCCAAAUAUGUUGUUCGGAUAUUAAAUUAGCAUCUGAAGCUGUUGAAUAACAUUCCCAUGCACCUUUUGAGCCAGGAAACCUUAAUGGAAGACCCUCAUGCUUGCAAAUUGCAGCGUAAACACAAAGCGUGCCAAUGAGGUUCAUCAUGCUGUAAGGUGAAAAUCCAAAGAUAACUUGUGGUCGAUUAAUGAACCAUGUCGUUCCUUUUUUCUUACCCACCUGAAUAAAAUAGUUGAACAAAUAGCUGAUUUAAUUAUAUAACAAAAUAAUUAAUGCCAGUUAUAUUAAUUGUUGUCUAGGUGACUAAAUAUAAGUUCCAAGAUUAAUUUAACCAAGCAAAUAUUAUUCCAAGCCUAUUGUAUAAUUUCAAUAAGUUAGAAACAGAUUGGAAAAAGGUUUAAUUGAUUUGAGAUUUCAACUACUUGUUUAGUAUAGUAUGUGUUUUAAAUUCAAUACUAAACUUGAUCUGUUUGCUUGAUAUAAUCUUUUGUCUUAGGACUUUAUUUUACAUAAAGCCUAAUUAACUUAGCUUUAAAUCUAGGUUGCGAUAACUUCUAAUAAAUAAUCUUAUAGGGCUAAUUCAAGAGAAUUAUAUUGGUUAAAGUUCAAGUAUCACAUUGAAAAAAUAUACAUUUGAAAAUUGUUUAUAAAGAUUGACAUAUUUUCCCCUGCAGACCGAUUUUAUAAGAAUGGGUUAGCUAGAUGCGCUAUAUUAAAAUAUAAUCACUAUUAUCAGGCAUACCUAAUGCUUUAUUAACAAAAUUCCCACAAAAAAAAUGUAUUUAGCAAAGAUAAUUUAAUGGAAAGAGUAAUAGCAUUAAUUCUAAAUCUUAUGAUGUGUAAUUCUAAGAGCAGCUUUUGCCCUAGUUGCUUAAACAUAAACAACUUUGCUUAUUUUUUUGUCAAAUGCAUCUAAA